Long non-coding RNA from Triticum aestivum (bread wheat), 2185 nucleotides. RefSeq lists it as uncharacterized. The transcript is spliced from 3 exons. NCBI's taxonomy places the organism in Eukaryota, Viridiplantae, Streptophyta, Magnoliopsida, Poales, Poaceae. The record is from RefSeq and is a predicted model, not a curated record.
CUCAGGGCGGACGAAAACUCUGGCGUCCCACGCCCGCACAAGGAAAACAACCGCGUCUUCGAUUCCGCUCGCAACUCCCUAAUUUUUGGGACGAUUGCAACUGAAUUGUGCCUCCCCGAUCCUUCUUUCUCUCCGUAGAUCCAGAAAAACGGCGCCGCUGCUCCUCCCUUCUCCUCUUCUGUGCACUUCCCCUUGAUCCCCCCGAGUCGACCCUGCCUCCGGUGGUGCCCGCGCUCCUGCAAGCCGCCGCCGACCUGCUCAACCGGUCAACCGCACCCAGCGCCCUCCUUCGUUUUCUCCCCCUCUCCUCACUAAUCUCGCUCCGUUACCAAACUACAGGAUGCCAUGGCCACCGGAGGCAGCGGGCACGACCGCGAUGGCCCCGAGCUCGGCAAAGUGAAAGCCAUUGGAGGCGCUGGUGAGGCCGAGGUCGGUGAACCUGGCAGCGGCGGUCGAGCGCGGUGAGCGCGGGGCAGGCCUGGAGCAGCGGCUCGAGAUCCGUGCCACCGAGGAGGUUGACACGGUGGAACGUGGCCCGCUAGCAGGGCGCGAGGCUGGCGACCGUCGAGGGGUCAUGGCAGUAGACGGCGAAGUCAGAGUGUCAGACACGAUGGGGAGGCACGCGGCGAGGCGCGCGGCAAGGAUGCUCGGCAAUCUCCUCAGCGAGAGGUCAUUGGAGGAGGAGGAGGCAAGUGGCCCCGCAGCGUGCGAGGCCGAGGAGAGCAGCGGGUGACCCAACAGCGAGGCCAACGAGAGGUCAAGCCGCUCAACCGCUGGGAAGCAGAAGUCCGUGGAGCGGCAGGAAGUAGGGCGUCCUCGGGUCUCCGCACAGUGCCAUCGCGCCCCGCAUCGCUGGCUCGGCCGCCAGCAGCCUGGGGCAUGCCCGCGAGGCCCCAUGCCGCGAAGGACGCCCAGGAUGAUCCACACAAAGUCACAAACUGAGAAACGGAGUGGACAACCAUGAGGCCACGUGACUGCGAAGGUGACGAGAAUGGUAUCGCAGCAUGUGUAGAAUGGAUAAAAGGAUACUCAUGACAUGGAUGAGGAGGCUAAGCAGCAAUUUUGCAUCCCGUGCAGAAUUACAGAACAUAAGAAAAUGGAUGGCUGCGGGGAGCGUGAACCGAGGUGAUCUAUGGCUGCUAUAUCUUGUCGUGUAGAAAUUGGGAACAACUCAUCGUCUGUGGUAGCAGUUCGGACUUGAUAUGCUUCUGUACUGUUUAACUUCCAUUCCCAAAAUAUUUGGUAGAUGGCCAUUGUAUUGACCAUGUUUGUCAGCGUAAUGUGUAUAAGACAUUGGUGAAGUCAAUAUGAUCUAUGCCCAUACUGUGAGUUAACUUGUACCCUUGCCUUGCUUGCCGAGUUUAAUUAUGUUAGUAAUUCUGCAUUUCAUGUUAUGCAUUGUUGAUGCAAUCUACUCUUCAUGACUAUUCAAUGGACACUUCUUUGCAAACUAAACAUUAUUGUUUGAUUCUGUAGUGUUUUUUUUUUCAGGAACUACUUGUGGUAGUACUAUGGUAAUUAAGUUAAUGCGAAAUCCUCCAAUCUUGUUGUCUAGGCAAAUAUAUUUUUUGUUAACAGUGUCUUGCCCAUGUUGUAUAUACAAUAUAUACAGUUCCAUUAAAGUUGCUUCUAUGUUUUUUGUUGUAAAAAUACAUUGGCUCAUGGUUAUUGAAUAAAAUCAUGUUGACUAUUGUUGAUCAAGGUGAAUAUGUAGAUGAAGAUGUCGUGAUAUCGAGGUACAUAAAAAUGGGAUCGGAGAACACAAUAAGAGUUUGUGUUGAUGCUUUCAUGAAUUGUAUUAUGGUGCGCGCAUUCUGUCCAACAAGAUUUAAUUGUAAAUCUGUGUUCAUUACUUCAGCGGAGUUAUUUUCUUAGUGGACAAUCUGACACUAGCUCAGGCAGCGGCGUCAAGGAACCUUCUUCAAGUCCCUGGGCACUGGCAAAUUAGAAGCCACCUAGCAAACUUUUUUGGUGCAACAGCGAACAUUCAAGCUCAGGUUUUUCAUAUUCCUAGGAAACUUAAUGUAAAAGCUCACAAUUGUGCAGCUUUUUCCUACAAAGAGGAUCAUCCCGUGAGCAAUAAAUUUGUUUGUUGUAAAGUAGAACAUGCAGGAGGUCACUGUCCUACGCUUACAAAGCUAGGUAACUUAUGUAUUAAGGACUGCCAAAUCCUUUCUGUAAUCUG